GUAAUGUCUGGGNAUCUGCCUGAUGGAGGGGGAUAACUACUGGAAACGGUAGCUAAUACCGCAUGACGUCGCAAGACCAAAGUGGGGGACCUUCGGGCCUCACGCCAUCGGAUGAACCCAGAUGGGAUUAGCUGGUAGGUGGGGUAACGGCUCACCUAGGCGACGAUCCCUAGCUGGUCUGAGAGGAUGACCAGCCACACUGGAACUGAGACACGGUCCAGACUCCUACGGGAGGCAGCAGUGGGGAAUAUUGCACAAUGGGGGAAACCCUGAUGCAGCCAUGCCGCGUGUGUGAAGAAGGCCUUCGGGUUGUAAAGCACUUUCAGCGGGGAGGAAGGGAGCAGGGUUAAUAACCUUGUUCAUUGACGUUACCCGCAGAAGAAGCACCGGCUAACUCCGUGCCAGCAGCCGCGGUAAUACGGAGGGUGCAAGCGUUAAUCGGAAUGACUGGGCGUAAAGCGCACGCAGGCGGUCUGUUAAGUUGGAUGUGAAAUCCCCGGGCUUAACCUGGGAACUGCAUUCAAAACUGACAGGCUAGAGUCUCGUAGAGGGGGGUAGAAUUCCAGGUGUAGCGGUGAAAUGCGUAGAGAUCUGGAGGAAUACCGGUGGCGAAGGCGGCCCCCUGGACGAAGACUGACGCUCAGGUGCGAAAGCGUGGGGAGCAAACAGGAUUAGAUACCCCUGGUAGUCC
RNAcentral lists this ribosomal RNA (691 nucleotides) under Bacillus velezensis. RNAcentral's name for it is "bacterial SSU rRNA". It matches the Rfam family "Bacterial small subunit ribosomal RNA", at positions 110 to 796 of the family's 1533-position model. The record is from RNAcentral. Lineage: Bacteria; Bacillati; Bacillota; Bacilli; Caryophanales; Bacillaceae.